AACGAACGCUGGCGGCGUGGAUAAGACAUGCAAGUCGAACGGGACAACAUCUGUAGCAAUACAGGUGUUGUUUAGUGGCGAACGGGUGCGUAACACGUGGGCAAUCUGCCGAGAAGUGGGGGAUAGCUCGCCGAAAGGCGAAUUAAUACCGCAUAUGAUCAGUGAAGACAUCUUCACGACAUCAAAGCCGGGGUAACCUGGCGCUUCUUGAUGAGCCCGCGGCCUAUCAGCUAGUUGGUGAGGUAAUGGCUCACCAAGGCUACGACGGGUAGCUGGUCUGAGAGGACGACCAGUCACACUGGAACUGAGACACGGUCCAGACACCUACGGGUGGCAGCAGUCGAGUAAUUUUUCUCAAUGGGGCAACCCUGAAGGAGCGACGCCGCGUGGAGGAUGAAGG
RNAcentral lists this ribosomal RNA (400 nucleotides) under uncultured bacterium. RNAcentral's name for it is "bacterial SSU rRNA". It matches the Rfam family "Bacterial small subunit ribosomal RNA", at positions 29 to 414 of the family's 1533-position model. The record is from RNAcentral.